AUUGAACGCUGGCGGCAGGCCUAACACAUGCAAGUCGAGCGGAUGAAGGGAGCUUGCUCCUGGAUUCAGCGGCGGACGGGUGAGUAAUGCCUAGGAAUCUGCCUGGUAGUGGGGGAUAACGUCCGGAAACGGGCGCUAAUACCGCAUACGUCCUGAGGGAGAAAGUGGGGGAGCUUCGGACCUCACGCUAUCAGAUGAGCCUAGGUCGGAUUAGCUAGUUGGUGGGGUAAAGGCCUACCAAGGCGACGAUCCGUAACUGGUCUGAGAGGAUGAUCAGUCACACUGGAACUGAGACACGGACCUGGCUCCUGCGGGAGGCAGCAGUGGGGAAUAGUGGGCAAUGGGCGAAAGCCUGAUCCAGCCAUGCCGCGUGUGUGAAGAAGGUCUUCGGAUUGUAAAGCACUUUAAGUUGGGAGGAAGGGCAGUAAGUUGAUACCUUGCUGUUUUGACGUUACCAACAGAAUAAGCACCGGCUAACUUCGUG
This 484-nucleotide ribosomal RNA is filed under the name uncultured bacterium. Its description in RNAcentral is "partial 16S ribosomal RNA". It matches the Rfam family "Bacterial small subunit ribosomal RNA", at positions 30 to 507 of the family's 1533-position model. The record is from RNAcentral.